RNAcentral lists this ribosomal RNA (674 nucleotides) under Echinococcus granulosus. RNAcentral describes it as "partial 16S ribosomal RNA". The stretch from base 384 to 536 matches the Rfam family "Archaeal large subunit ribosomal RNA", at positions 1887 to 2086 of the family's 2987-position model. Lineage: Eukaryota; Metazoa; Platyhelminthes; Cestoda; Cyclophyllidea; Taeniidae. The record is from RNAcentral.
CUUAACGGAGUUUUUUAAAGUAUGUUUUUGUACCGAAAGGUUUUGAUCUUAGAUUUAGUUGUUUAGAAGUGUUGUUUGGUCUGGGUAAGGUCUUGUAAACUAAAUUUAUGUGGUGAUAAGUGAGUCGUAAAGCUUUAUAACUGUUUGGUUGUUUAGAAUUUAGUGGGAUGUAGGUGGCUAUUAGGUCAUUUAUAUUUUUAUACAUUUGGUGAUGUGUGGUUUUUGAUAAGGUUAGAGGUACCUAGUUUUUGUUAUAUUGUUGUAAAUAUGGUUUUGUUGGUUUAUUGGUAUGUUAAUUGUUUGAACAACUGUUUUGUUAUAUUUGGUUAUUAUAUUAUCGUUGAAUAAGUAAUUUUAUUAUGCUAUUUAUUUCUUGAGUUCUUUCCGUCUGUUUAUUAAAAACAUUUCUAAUUUUAAUUGUAGUUAGUAGUGCCUGCCCAAUGUUGGUUAAUUAAUGGCCGCAGUAUAUUGACUGUGCAAAGGUAGCAUAAUUAAUUGCCUUUUAAUUGGAGGCUUGUUUGAAUGGUUUGACGUGAUUGGUAUGAAUAUUUGGUAUUUAGUUGAAAUUGAUUUUGAGGGUUUAGAAUCCUUAAUGUUUAAUAAGACGGAAAGACCCUAGGAUCUUUUGUUUUUGUUUGGGGCAAAUAUUGUUGUUUUAUGAAUAUUGUGACCCU